RNAcentral lists this ribosomal RNA (497 nucleotides) under uncultured bacterium. RNAcentral describes it as "partial 16S ribosomal RNA". It matches the Rfam family "Bacterial small subunit ribosomal RNA", at positions 28 to 507 of the family's 1533-position model. The record is from RNAcentral.
GAUGAACGCUGGCGGCGUGCCUAAUACAUGCAAGUCGAGCGAACGGACGAGAAGCUUGUUUCUCUGAUGUUUGCGGCGGACGGGUGAGUAACACGUGGAUACCCUCCCUAUCAGACUGGGAUAAUUUCGGAACACCGGCGCUAAUACCGGAUAAUAUUCUGAACCGCAUGGUUCAAAAGUGAAAGACGGUCUUGCUGUCACUUAUAGAUGGAUCCGCGCUGCAUUAGAUAGUUGGUAAGGUAACGGCCUUCCAAGGCUACGAUGCCUAGCCGACCUGAGAGGGUGAUAGGCGGCCCUGGAGGUGGAACGGCGUCAAGGCGCCUGCGGGAGGCAGCAGUAGGGUAUGUGCCGCAGUAGGCGAAAGCAUGACGGAGCAAGGGCGAGUGAGUGAUGGAGAUCUUCGGAUCGUAAAGCUCGGUUAUGGGGGAUGAACAGAUGUGUAAGGAACUGUGCACAGCGUGACGGUACCGGAUCAGGAAGCAACGGCUAACUACGUG